Molecule: long non-coding RNA, 1964 nt
Filed under: Nicotiana tabacum (common tobacco)
Lineage: Eukaryota; Viridiplantae; Streptophyta; Magnoliopsida; Solanales; Solanaceae
Description: long non-coding RNA (NTAB_LNC003846)
Source: RNAcentral
AGCUUGAUCUUGAGUCUUGGUUGGUGCUUCAUGUAGACCCUGAUCUGAAUCUUGAUUCUUGUUGGCUGCAGGUGUUGGUUCAAUCUUGUUCUAGGGUCAAGACCGGACAUGUAGUGCUCAUGACUUCAACCACGUCUUGAGCAGUUCACAUUUUUUCCUGCUUCUGAACGUUAGAGCUCACUUUUUUUGUUCUUUUUCUUCUUUCCUUUAUUUUGGAUUGAGACUCAUUUUUUCUGCCAUCUCGAAUCGUGUGCCUCGAGGUCAAACCUUCUUGGCACCUUGAACUAUUUUCCCUUGAAACUUGAGUUGUCUUCCGUCGACACUGAUUUCCCUUGAAACUUGAGUUGUCUUCCCUUGCUCCCCAGGUGAAAUCCAUUGUUGCCGUUUUGAAUUGUAAACUGAGAUGUUUUCCCUUCUUCAACUAUUAAACUUGAAUGUAUUUGAACUUGAAUGUAUUCCUCUGUUCUUCAGGCGGGCUCCUGACUUCUGAAUUUUGAAUUUGAAUGUAUUCCUCUGUUAUCCAGGUGGGCUCCUGAUUUCAUAAAAAUCGACAAAACAAAUAAAACUUUCUGCCCCAGUUUGGAAACUGGGUACAUGUUACUGGAAAUUAAUAAGAAUUUGAGUAAAACUUAACUUGAAAUACCUCUGUUAUACAGGCGGGCUCCUGACUUCCGAAACUUGAAUUGUAUGCCUCUGUUCUUUAGGCGGGCUCCUGACUUCAAAAGACAAAAAAUCGAUUGAAAACUAAAAUUUGAAUUGUAUCACCUCUGUUCUUAAGGCGGGCUCCUGAUUGUUGAAUUUGAAUAUGAAUGUAUUCCUCUAUUAUCCAGGCGGGCUCCUGACUUCACAAAAAUAGACAAAACAAAGAAAACUUUCUGCCCCAGUGUGGAAAACUGGUUGUUUGUUACCACAUACUAAUAAGAACUAAAACUUGAAUUGUGAUAAGACGGAAAUGCAACUUUUAAAAAUUUAAAGACUGCAAUGUAUCUUAAAAUUUAAAAUUUAUCUUAGGUGAAAAAUUCAUCAGACUAAGAUUUUCAUCUUAGUGAAAGAUUCGACUAACUAAGAUUUAUCUUUAUCUUAGGUGAAAAAUUCAUCAGACUAAGCUUUCCAUCUUAGGAGAAAGAUUCAACAGACUAAGAUUUUUAUCUUUUAUCUUAGGUAAACAAUUCAUCAGACUAAGAUUUUUGUCUUUAUCUUAGGUGAAAAAUUCAUCAGACUAAGAUUUUGUCUUUAUAUUAGGUGAAAAAUUCAUCAGACUAAGAUUUUUAUAUUAGGAGAAAGAUUCAACAGACUAAGAUUUUUAUCUUUAUCUUAGGUAAAAAAUUCAUGAGACUAAGAUUUUCAUCUUAGGAGAAAGAUUCAACAGACUAAGAUUUUUAUCUUUAACUUAGGUGAAAAAUUCAUCAGACUAAGAUUUUCAUCUUAGGAGAAAGAUUCAAUAGACUAAGAUUGUGACUCUAGGAGAUAAUUCAUCAGACUAGGUCCAUUUUAGUGUGAUCUCAGGAGGAAGAUUCAUCGGACUGCAAUUUUGACUCUAGGAGAUAAUUCAUCAGACUAGGUCCAUUUUUGUGAUCCCGACUUUCUUAAUUUUCCAAAUUCCAACUUCCAUUCUUUUCAAAUUCUGCCUUCCUUUCUUGUUCCCAAAUUAUGCCUUCCUUUCUUUUUUCUUUUUUUUUCGACUUUUGCCUUCCCCUUCUUUAAAUUAUGCCUUCCUUUCUUUCUCCUCAAAUUCUGCCUUCAUCGUUUUCCAAAUUAUGCCUUCCUUUCGUUUUUCCAACUUUUGCCUUUAUCUUAGGUGAAAGAUUCAUCAGACUAAGAUUUUUAUCUUAGGUGAUAGAUUCAAAAGACUAAGAUUUCUUUAUCUUAGGUGAAAGAUUCAACAGACUAAGAUUUCUUUAUCUUAGGUGAAAAAUUCGAAAUACUAAGAUUUUUAUCUUUUAACCAUUUUCCUUCGAAAUUUG